Long non-coding RNA from Arabidopsis lyrata subsp. lyrata, 771 nucleotides. RefSeq lists it as uncharacterized. The record is from RefSeq and is a predicted model, not a curated record. Lineage: Eukaryota; Viridiplantae; Streptophyta; Magnoliopsida; Brassicales; Brassicaceae. The transcript has 2 exons.
AUGUUAUUUAUGAUUAAAAAAAAAUUGGCAAAAACAAGAAUAAUCGAAAGACAGAGAAGAGAGUUCGUCGUCUUGGUUCUUCUCCGGUUCCAGAUCCAGAGACUGGGCACCGGCGUUGUGACAUGAUCCUUUUGCUUUGUUAGUUUUCCGCUGUUGGUUCUCGGUGAAGGGUUGUCCCUCCGUCCGUACUGUUUCCAAUCAUAUAGCUACACCGAUUUGAUUAUCUCAUCGCUCAUUUUAUUUCCAGAUUUCUCUCCAAUUUCAGUUAGGUACUCCUUCGGUGGAGUUCUCGAUAAAGCUCUCGCCUCAGCUUCCGGUGAUGCAUCCGUUCAGGAUCUUCUCGUCGAUCGUACUCUCGAACUCGCCUCUCUUCUUCUCGAUUCCACUAAACGAUGCUUCCGGAAGCGAGCUUCUGUUCACAAUUCCAAUUCCUAGUUCCUACCUCCAGAACUCACCAUUAAGAUGGCACAAUCCAGGAAAGCUUGCAUUCGGUUCUUUGACGAAGGCCAACGUAUUAUGCUUGAGAUUGUGAAAUAGACCCGUUUCGAACUGUGAAAGAGAUCUAUUUUGAACGACUUGCUUGCCUUUGCCAAACCAGAAAUGAUCCCUCAGCCCAUGAAACAUCUCUCAUACUUUUUGUCUUUUGAGAUUUGUUUUGACUUGGGUAUUGUUAAUCUUUUUUUGCAUGAGCUGAUCUCAGAAGUGUAUGCAUAAAGGUAUUGUAUGAAUAUUAUAAUUAAUAUAUGGUAUUCUUUUGGUUUGUUGAUAUAA